This 449-nucleotide ribosomal RNA is filed under the name uncultured bacterium. RNAcentral describes it as "partial 16S ribosomal RNA". It matches the Rfam family "Bacterial small subunit ribosomal RNA", at positions 29 to 523 of the family's 1533-position model. The record is from RNAcentral.
AACGAACGCUGGCGGCGUGCCUAACACAUGCAAGUCGAACGAAUGUAGCAAUACAUUAGUGGCGCACGGGUGAGUAACACGUGGGAAUCUGCCUCAUAGUUCGGAAUAACACCGGGAAACUGGUGCUAAUACCGGAUACGCCCUUCGGGGGAAAGUUUUUCGCUAUGAGAUGAGCCCGCGUUGGAUUAGCUAGUUGGUGAGGUAUGGCUCACCAAGGCGACGAUCGAUAGCUGAUCUUAGAGGAUGAUCAGCCACACUGGGACUGAGACACGGCGCAGACUCCUAGGGGAGGCAGCAGUGGGGAAUAUUGGACAAUGGGGGAAAGCCUGAUCCAGCAACGCCGCGUGGAUGAUGAAGGUCUUCGGAUUGGAAAGUCCUUUUGGCGGGGACGAUGAUGACGGUACCCGCAGAAUAAGCUCCGGCUAACUUCGUGCCAGCCGCCGCAGUAA